RNAcentral lists this ribosomal RNA (492 nucleotides) under uncultured bacterium. RNAcentral's name for it is "partial 16S ribosomal RNA". It matches the Rfam family "Bacterial small subunit ribosomal RNA", at positions 28 to 507 of the family's 1533-position model. The record is from RNAcentral.
GAUGAACGCUAGCUACAGGCUUAACACAUGCAAGUCGAGGGGAAACGACAUCGAAAGCUUGCUUUUGAUGGGCGUCGACCGGCGCACGGGUGAGUAACGCGUAUCCAACCUGCCCACCACUUGGGGAUAACCUUGCGAAAGUAAGACUAAUACCCAAUGAUAUCUCUAGAAGACAUCUGAAAGAGAUUAAAGAUUUAUCGGUGAUGGAUGGGGAUGCGUCUGAUUAGCUUGUUGGCGGGGUAACGGCCCACCAAGGCAACGAUCAGUAGGGGUUCUGAGGGGAAGGUCCCCCACAUUGGAACUGAGACACGGUCCAAACUCCUACGGGAGGCAGCAGUGAGGAAUAUUGGUCAAUGGACGAGAGUCUGAACCAGCCAAGUAGCGUGCAGGAAGACGGCCCUAUGGGUUGUAAACUGCUUUUAUAAGGGAAUAAAGUGAGUCUCGUGAGACUUUUUGCAUGUACCUUAUGAAUAAGGACCGGCUAAUUCCGUG